GAGACACGGCCCAGACUCCUACGGGAGGCAGCAGUGGGGAAUUUUCCGCAAUGGGCGCAAGCCUGACGGAGCAACGCCGCGUGUGGGAUGAAGGCCUGUGGGUUGUAAACCACUUUUCUCAGGGACGAACACAAUGACGGUACCUGAGGAAUCAGCCUCGGCUAACUCUGUGCCAGCAGCCGCGGUAAGACAGAGGAGGCAAGCGUUAUCCGGAAUUAUUGGGCGUAAAGCGUCCGUAGGUGGUCUAGCAAGUCUGGGGUUAAAGCCCGGAGCCCAACUCCGGAUCGGCCUUGGAAACUGCCAGACUCGAGUAAGGUAGGGGUUGCGGGAAUUCCCGGUGUAGCGGUAAAAUGCGUAGAUAUCGGGAAGAACACCAGCGGCGAAAGCGCGCAACUGGGCUAUUACUGACACUGAGGGACGAAAGCUAGGGGAGCGAAUGGGAUUAGAUACCCCAGUAGUCCUAGCCGUAAACGAUGGUGACUAGAUGUGGCUCGUAUUGACCCGAGCCGUGUCGUAGCUAACGCGAUAAGUCACCCGCCUGGGGAGUACGCACGCAAGUGUGAAACUCAAAGGAAUUGACGGGGGCCCGCACAAGCGGUGGAGCAUGUGGAUUAAUUCGAUGCAACGCGAAGAACCUUACCAGGGCUUGACAUCCUGCGAACCCCGCUGAAAGGUGGGGGUGCCUUCGGGAGCGCAGAGACAGGUGGUGCAUGGCUGUCGUCAGCUCGUGUCGUGAGAUGUUGGGUUAAGUCCCGCAACGAGCGCAACCCGCGUCCUUAGUUGCCAGCAUUUAGUUGGGCACUCUGGGGAGACUGCCGGUGACAAGCCGGAGGAAGGUGCGGAUGACGUCAAGUCAGCAUGCCCCUUACGCCCUGGGCGUCACACGUGCUACAAUGGCCAGCACAAAGGGUAGCCAG
This 917-nucleotide ribosomal RNA is filed under the name uncultured Cyanophyceae cyanobacterium. Its description in RNAcentral is "bacterial SSU rRNA". It matches the Rfam family "Bacterial small subunit ribosomal RNA", at positions 321 to 1253 of the family's 1533-position model. The record is from RNAcentral. Lineage: Bacteria; Bacillati; Cyanobacteriota; Cyanophyceae.